RNAcentral lists this ribosomal RNA (460 nucleotides) under uncultured bacterium. RNAcentral's name for it is "partial 16S ribosomal RNA". It matches the Rfam family "Bacterial small subunit ribosomal RNA", at positions 338 to 795 of the family's 1533-position model. The record is from RNAcentral.
CCUACGGGUGGCUGCAGUGAGGAAUAUUGGUCAAUGGGCGAGAGCCUGAACCAGCCAAGUCGCGUGAAGGAUGAAGGACCUAUGGUUCGUAAACCUCUUUUAUAUGGGAGUAAAGUGGGGAACGUGUUCACUUUUGUAUGUACCCUAUGAAUAAGCAUUGGACAACCCCGUGCCAGCAGCCGCGGGAAUCCGGAGGAUGCGAACGUUAACCGGAUUUAUUGGGGUUAAAGGGGGCGUAGGUCGUAAAGUAAGUCAACGGGGAAAAUUUGUGGCUCAACCAUAGAAGUGCCGUUGAAACUGGUGGUCUUGAGUGUGUGUGAGGUAAGCGGAAUGCGUGGUGUAGCGGUGAAAUGCAUAGAUAUCACGCAGAACGCCGAUUGCGAAGGCAGCUUACUAGAGUAUAACUGACACUGAGGCACGAAAGCGUGGGGAUCGAACAGGAUUAGAUACCCGGGUAGUC